RNAcentral lists this ribosomal RNA (468 nucleotides) under uncultured bacterium. Its description in RNAcentral is "partial 16S ribosomal RNA". It matches the Rfam family "Bacterial small subunit ribosomal RNA", at positions 28 to 507 of the family's 1533-position model. The record is from RNAcentral.
GACGAACGCUGGCGGCGUGCUUAACACAUGCAAGUCGAACGGAAAGGCCCUGCUUUUUUGGUGUGCUCGAUUGGCGAACGGGUGAGUAACACGUGAGUAACCUGCCCUUCACUUUGGGAUAACUUCAGGAAACUGGGGCUAAUACCGGAUAGGAGCUCCUGCUGCAUUGUGGGGGGUGGAAAGUUUCGGCGGUUGGGGAUGGACUCGCGGCUUAUCAGCUUGUUGGUGGGGUAGUGGCUUACCAAGGCUUUGACGGGUAGCCGGCCUGAGAGGGUGACCGGCCACAUUGGGACUGAGAUACGGACCAGACUCCUACGGGAGGCAGCAGUGGGGAAUAUUGCACAAUGGGCGGACGUCUGAUGAAGAAACGCCGCGUGCGGGAUGACGGCCUUCGGGUUGUAAAACGCUUUCGCCUGUGACGAAGCGUGAGUGACGGUAAUGGGUAAAGAAGCACCGGCUAACUACGUG